GCAAACUUGGUCAUUUAGAGGAAGUAAAAGUCGUAACAAGGUUUCCGUAGGUGAACCUGCGGAAGGAUCAUUGUUGAUUUGAAUGGGAUGUGCUGGCACUUACUGUCUACCGAUAGCUAAGUGCAUGUGUCACUCCGUUAUAUUCAUAUAUCCCUUUGUGCACAACCAAAUGUAAAUGGAAUGGAUAUGGAGAAAUCCAAGUUCUUCCAAUCUGCAUUUUUUACUUUAACCCUUUCUUGAAAUCGAGAUGAAUGUUAAAUCUAAAACAACUUUCAACAACGGAUCUCUUGGCUCUCGCAUCGAUGAAGAACGCAGC
RNAcentral lists this unclassified non-coding RNA (316 nucleotides) under uncultured fungus. RNAcentral describes it as "partial contains small subunit ribosomal RNA, internal transcribed spacer 1, and 5.8S ribosomal RNA". The stretch from base 1 to 73 matches the Rfam family "Eukaryotic small subunit ribosomal RNA", at positions 1759 to 1831 of the family's 1831-position model. The record is from RNAcentral. Lineage: Eukaryota; Fungi.